UGGAUCAGUGAUGACAACUGGUUGUCUAGGAUGAUGAAUGAUUUGUGUCUGGAGCUCUUAAGGUCCAA
Small nucleolar RNA from Equus asinus (donkey), 68 nucleotides. Lineage: Eukaryota; Metazoa; Chordata; Mammalia; Perissodactyla; Equidae. The record is from Ensembl.